Molecule: transfer RNA, 73 nt
Filed under: Streptomyces longispororuber
Lineage: Bacteria; Bacillati; Actinomycetota; Actinomycetes; Kitasatosporales; Streptomycetaceae
Description: tRNA-Ser
Source: RNAcentral
UCGACGCGGGCGCCCGGCCGGGCGCGGCGGCGCUCGACCCGCUGGACCCGGCGCUCGGCGCGCUGGAGCCGGA